UUGCACACGUAAGAACCCAGCUCUC
This 25-nucleotide non-coding RNA is filed under the name Mus musculus (house mouse). The record is from RNAcentral. Lineage: Eukaryota; Metazoa; Chordata; Mammalia; Rodentia; Muridae.